GAGCGGCGGACGGGUGAGUAACGCGUGGGUAACCUGCCCUGUACACACGGAUAACAUACCGAAAGGUAUGCUAAUACGAGAUAAUAUGCUUUUAUCGCAUGGUAGAAGUAUCAAAGCUUUUGCGGUACAGGAUGGACCCGCGUCUGAUUAGCUAGUUGGUGAGGUAACGGCUCACCAAGGCGACGAUCAGUAGCCGACCUGAGAGGGUGAUCGGCCACAUUGGAACUGAGACACGGUCCAAACUCCUACGGGAGG
Molecule: ribosomal RNA, 255 nt
Filed under: uncultured bacterium
Lineage: Bacteria
Description: partial 16S ribosomal RNA
Rfam family: Bacterial small subunit ribosomal RNA
Source: RNAcentral